GGGUAGUAUUCUAUGACGUUCGUGGAAAACCACAACCCUUGACUGUUUUACGUGCUUAUGGAAAUUCUGAGGCUGUGACAAGUCUAUGCUGGCAAAGAGCAAAACCUGUAAUUGUCAAUGAAAACAAUUGCACUACAGAAAUGGCUCUCCUGGGCAGUGCUGUGGAGGAUUCAAUUUUGAUGCCUGACCCACUUCCUGCUAUGAUGUCAUCAAGCCUAGCAACUUCUAUGACAACAUCAGGUUCGAGAACCACUGUUCGUUCAGGUUCUGUGGACUCAUUUUCU
Molecule: unclassified non-coding RNA, 284 nt
Filed under: Hevea brasiliensis (rubber tree)
Lineage: Eukaryota; Viridiplantae; Streptophyta; Magnoliopsida; Malpighiales; Euphorbiaceae
Source: RNAcentral